This 494-nucleotide ribosomal RNA is filed under the name uncultured bacterium. RNAcentral's name for it is "partial 16S ribosomal RNA". It matches the Rfam family "Bacterial small subunit ribosomal RNA", at positions 28 to 507 of the family's 1533-position model. The record is from RNAcentral.
GACGAACGCUGGCGGCGUGCUUAACACAUGCAAGUCGAACGGAAAGGCCUGCUUUCCCUUGUGGAUUGCGGGUACUCGAGUGGCGAACGGGUGAGUAACACGUGAGUGAUCUGCCCCCAACUUGGGUAUAAGCCUGGGAAACUGGGUCUAAUUCCCGAUAGGACUGCAGGGUGGUGCCUGUGGUGGAAAACGAUUUUCUAGUGGUUGGGGAUGAGCUCGCGGCCUAUCAGCUUGUUGGUGGGGUAAUGGCCUACCAAGGCGGCGACGGGUAGCCGGCCUGGGAGGGGUGACGGCGACAUUGGGACUGAGAUACGGCCCAGACUCCUACGGGAGGCAGCAGUGGGGAAUAUUGCACAAUGGGCGGAAGCCUGAUGCAGCGACGCCGCGUGGGGGAUGACGGCCUUCGGGUUGUAAACUCCUUUCGACCGCGAGGAAGCCACCUGGUUGGAAGGGUGGUGACGGUAGUGGUAGAAGAAGCACCGGCUAACUACGUG